GGGUUGUGAGGUUAAGCGACUAAGCGUACACGGUGGAUGCCCUGGCAGUCAGAGGCGAUGAAGGACGUGCUAAUCUGCGAUAAGCGUCGGUAAGGUGAUAUGAACCGUUAUAACCGGCGAUUUCCGAAUGGGGAAACCCAGUGUGAUUCGUCACACUAUCAUUAACUGAAUCCAUAGGUUAAUGAGGCGAACCGGGGGAACUGAAACAUCUAAGUACCCCGAGGAAAAGAAAUCAACCGAGAUUCCCCCAGUAGCGGCGAGCGAACGGGGAGGAGCCCAGAGCCUGAAUCAGUGUGUGUGUUAGUGGAAGCGUCUGGAAAGGCGCGCGAUACAGGGUGACAGCCCCGUACACAAAAAUGCACAUGCUGUGAGCUCGAUGAGUAGGGCGGGACACGUGGUAUCCUGUCUGAAUAUGGGGGGACCAUCCUCCAAGGCUAAAUACUCCUGACUGACCGAUAGUGAACCAGUACCGUGAGGGAAAGGCGAAAAGAACCCCGGCGAGGGGAGUGAAAAAGAACCUGAAACCGUGUACGUACAAGCAGUGGGAGCACAGAGCAAUCUGUGUGACUGCGUACCUUUUGUAUAAUGGGUCAGCGACUUAUAUUCUGUAGCAAGGUUAACCGAAUAGGGGAGCCGAAGGGAAACCGAGUCUUAACUGGGCGUUAAGUUGCAGGGUAUAGACCCGAAACCCGGUGAUCUAGCCAUGGGCAGGUUGAAGGUUGGGUAACACUAACUGGAGGACCGAACCGACUAAUGUUGAAAAAUUAGCGGAUGACUUGUGGCUGGGGGUGAAAGGCCAAUCAAACCGGGAGAUAGCUGGUUCUCCCCGAAAGCUAUUUAGGUAGCGCCUCGUGAAUUCAUCUCCGGGGGUAGAGCACUGUUUCGGCAAGGGGGUCAUCCCGACUUACCAACCCGAUGCAAACUGCGAAUACCGGAGAAUGUUAUCACGGGAGACACACGGCGGGUGCUAACGUCCGUCGUGAAGAGGGAAACAACCCAGACCGCCAGCUAAGGUCCCAAAGUCAUGGUUAAGUGGGAAACGAUGUGGGAAGGCCCAGACAGCCAGGAUGUUGGCUUAGAAGCAGCCAUCAUUUAAAGAAAGCGUAAUAGCUCACUGGUCGAGUCGGCCUGCGCGGAAGAUGUAACGGGGCUAAACCAUG
This 1160-nucleotide ribosomal RNA is filed under the name Escherichia coli. RNAcentral describes it as "partial 23S ribosomal RNA". It matches the Rfam family "Bacterial large subunit ribosomal RNA", at positions 1 to 1191 of the family's 2925-position model. Lineage: Bacteria; Pseudomonadati; Pseudomonadota; Gammaproteobacteria; Enterobacterales; Enterobacteriaceae. The record is from RNAcentral. RNAcentral also lists the same sequence under 1 other name.